GCGAACGUAGUUCAGUGGUAGAACACCACCUUGCCAAGGUGGGGGUCGCGGGUUCGAACCCCGUCGUUCGCU
RNAcentral lists this transfer RNA (72 nucleotides) under Streptococcus sp. RNAcentral describes it as "tRNA-Gly". It matches the Rfam family "tRNA". From Rfam's summary of the family: Transfer RNA (tRNA) molecules are approximately 80 nucleotides in length. The record is from RNAcentral. RNAcentral also lists the same sequence under 6 other names. Lineage: Bacteria; Bacillati; Bacillota; Bacilli; Lactobacillales; Streptococcaceae.